UCGAGCGACAGACAGGAGCUUGCUCCUUUGACGUUAGCGGCGGACGGGUGAGUAACACGUGGGUAACCUACCUAUAAGACUGGGAUAACUUCGGGAAACCGGAGCUAAUACCGGAUAAUAUUUCGAACCGCAUGGUUCGAUAGUGAAAGAUGGUUUUGCUAUCACUUAUAGAUGGACCCGCGCCGUAUUAGCUAGUUGGUAAGGUAACGGCUUACCAAGGCGACGAUACGUAGCCGACCUGAGAGGGUGAUCGGCCACACUGGAACUGAGACACGGUCCAGACUCCUACGGGAGGCAGCAGUAGGGAAUCUUCCGCAAUGGGCGAAAGCCUGACGGAGCAACGCCGCGUGAGUGAUGAAGGUCUUCGGAUCGUAAAACUCUGUUAUUAGGGAAGAACAUACGUGUAAGUAACUAUGCACGUCUUGACGGUACCUAAUCAGAAAGCCACGGCUAACUACGUGCCAGCAGCCGCGGUAAUACGUAGGUGGCAAGCGUUAUCCGGAAUUAUUGGGCGUAAAGCGCGCGUAGGCGGUUUUUUAAGUCUGAUGUGAAAGCCCACGGCUCAACCGUGGAGGGUCAUUGGAAACUGUAAAACUUGAGUGCAGAAGAGGAAAGUGGAAUUCCAUGUGUAGCGGUGAAAUGCGCAGAGAUAUGGAGGAACACCAGUGGGCGAAGGCGACUUUUCUGGUCUGUAACUGACGCUGAUGUGCGAAAGCGUGG
RNAcentral lists this ribosomal RNA (720 nucleotides) under Staphylococcus sp. US-13. RNAcentral describes it as "bacterial SSU rRNA". It matches the Rfam family "Bacterial small subunit ribosomal RNA", at positions 62 to 764 of the family's 1533-position model. The record is from RNAcentral. Lineage: Bacteria; Bacillati; Bacillota; Bacilli; Caryophanales; Staphylococcaceae.